Molecule: long non-coding RNA, 349 nt
Organism: Saccostrea cuccullata (small rock oyster)
Lineage: Eukaryota; Metazoa; Mollusca; Bivalvia; Ostreida; Ostreidae
Exons: 5
Source: RefSeq, a predicted model, not a curated record
UCCUUUUUUUAAAAAAAAAACCUUAUUGACACCGCUGCUUCAGAUGGAAUGGAAACGGAUAAGGGCGAAAAUACGCUUUCAGAAAGCUAUGCUCGGAUGCCAGAUACCUACAGUUCAAAAAGGAGACGAAGGAGAAGAAAGAAAAAUAAACAUCAUAUAGACGAUUUUCGUGUGAAAGGAAAAGGAGGAAACCAAUGAGGAAAUACAUAUACUUCUAUCCAAGAGAAGGAGGAACAGGGCACUGAUAACCAUCAGAGUCAGUGUUUCCAUCAAUUUCUCUACUAGGAUGCACACAUCUAGGCAAACUAAAUGAUGAUGUCUGAUCCUUCUGCAGAGGAUGUGUGUCUAA